This 553-nucleotide long non-coding RNA is filed under the name Lathyrus oleraceus (garden pea). RNAcentral's name for it is "Pisum sativum (pea) long non-coding RNA (PSAT_LNC002300)". The record is from RNAcentral. Lineage: Eukaryota; Viridiplantae; Streptophyta; Magnoliopsida; Fabales; Fabaceae.
GAGAACACUGUUUUCUCAUAUUUCUUUCUCGCAGACUCCUUUCUUCUUUCUUCUUCCACUUUCUCUUCUUUCCUUCUCUUCCCAUUUCCAUAAUCUUUUCUUCUUCUUCUUGAGCUGCUACGACAAAGCAACCCCUUCCUUGCGCCACUUCGAUUUCACACCACCUUCAGCUUUUCUGAUGCCGGAAACUCAACUUGAACAAACUCUCUAAACAUUCAUGCUUCCACCUGUUUCCGCCUUGCAACCAACAACUCACCUAUCGCCUCCCUUAAAUACCCAACCAAACAUGGUUCACCACCGUCGACGUCCGUAAUAAUGGCUGUGGUUCUAAGUGAUUUUGUAUGAUGACAAGGUUACUGCUUGUGAUAUGCAGUCUCCUACCUAAUUCUUUUUUUUUUCAAAACUUCUUUCUCUUUCUUUCAUAUUAAUUUAUUAUUAUUUUACUAGUUCUUUUUUUAUUUUUUAUUUUUAGUUUAUAUUGUGAUACAAUGUGUUUCAUUAAUUCUAAUUCUAUUUUUAUGUAUGUAUGUAUAAGAUCCAAGACUUUGAUGGC